GGCGGCGUGCUUACACAUGCAGUCGAACGAACCUUCGGGUUAGUGGCGGACGGGUGAGUAACGCGUGAGAAUCUGCCCUCAGGAGGGGGAUAACGGUUGGAAACGACCGCUAAUACCCCAUAUGCCGCGAGGUGAAAUGAAUUUCGCCUGAGGAUGAGCUCGCGUCUGAUUAGCUAGUUGGUGGGGUAAGAGCCUACCAAGGCUUCGAUCAGUAGCUGGUCUGAGAGGAUGAUCAGCCACACUGGGACUGAGACACGGCCCAGACUCCUACGGGAGGCAGCAGUGGGGAAUUUUCCGCAAUGGGCGAAAGCCUGACGGAGCAACGCCGCGUGAGGGAUGAAGGCCUCUGGGCUGUAAACCUCUUUUAUCAAGGAAGAAGAUCUGACGGUACUUGAUGAAUAAGCCACGGCUAAUUUCKUGCCAGCAGCCGCGGUAAUACGGGAGUGGCAAGCGUUAUCCGGAAUUAUUGGGCGUAAAGCGUCCGCAGGCGGUCUUACAAGUCUGUCGUUAAAGCGUGGAGCUUAACUCCAUUUCGGCGAUGGAAACUGUAAGACUAGAGUGUGGUAGGGGCAGAGGGAAUUCCCGGUGUAGCGGUGAAAUGCGUAGAUAUCGGGAAGAACACCAGUGGCGAAGGCGCUCUGCUGGGCCAUAACUGACGCUCAUGGACGAAAGCUAGGGGAGCGAAAGGGAUUAGAUACCCCUGUAGUCCUAGCCGUAAACGAUGAACACUAGGUGUCGGGGGAAUCGACCCCCUCGGUGUCGUAGCCAACGCGUUAAGUGUUCCGCCUGGGGAGUACGCACGCAAGUGUGAAACUCAAAGGAAUUGACGGGGGCCCGCACAAGCGGUGGAGUAUGUGGUUUAAUUCGAUGCAACGCGAAGAACCUUACCAGGGUUUGACAUCCUGCGAAUCCCUUGGAAACUUGGGAGUGCCUUCGGGAGCGCAGUGACAGGUGGUGCAUGGCUGUCGUCAGCUCGUGUCGUGAGAUGUUGGGUUAAGUCCCGCAACGAGCGCAACCCACGUCUUUAGUUGCCAGCAUUUAGUUGGGCACUCUAGAGAGACCGCCGGUGAUAAACCGGAGGAAGGUGUGGAUGACGUCAAGUCAUCAUGCCCCUUACAUCCUGGGCUACACACGUACUACAAUGCUACGGACAAAGGGCAGCAAACUCGCGAGAGCUAGCCAAUCCCAUAAACCGUGGCUCAGUUCAGAUCGUAGGCUGCAACUCGCCUACGUGAAGGAGGAAUCGCUAGUAAUCGCAGGUCAGCAUACUGCGGUGAAUACGUUCCCGGGCCUUGUACACACCGCCCGUCACACCAUGGAAGUUGGCCACGCCCGAAGUCGUUACUCCAACCCUUGUGGAGGAGGAUGCCGAAGGUGGGGCUGAUGACUGGGGUGAAGUCGUAACAAGGUAGCCGUACCGGAAGGUGCGGCUGGAUCACCUCCU
This 1444-nucleotide ribosomal RNA is filed under the name Synechococcus sp. MI0607D. RNAcentral describes it as "16S ribosomal RNA". It matches the Rfam family "Bacterial small subunit ribosomal RNA". Lineage: Bacteria; Bacillati; Cyanobacteriota; Cyanophyceae; Synechococcales; Synechococcaceae. The record is from RNAcentral.